This 729-nucleotide ribosomal RNA is filed under the name Trochocyathus rhombocolumna. RNAcentral's name for it is "eukaryotic LSU rRNA". It matches the Rfam family "Eukaryotic large subunit ribosomal RNA", at positions 65 to 641 of the family's 3401-position model. The record is from RNAcentral. Lineage: Eukaryota; Metazoa; Cnidaria; Anthozoa; Scleractinia; Caryophylliidae.
CUAACAAGGAUUCCCCUAGUAACGGCGAGCGAAGCGGGAAUAGCUCAAAUUUGAAAUCUCCGACGCUUGCGUCGGCGAGUUGUAGUUGCGAGAAGCACUUUCUCGGCGGAUCGGGCGCGCCUAAGUUGCUUGGAACAGUACGUCGCAGAGGGUGACAACCCCGUCUGUGGCGCGGCCGGCCGCUCACGAUGUGCUUUCGAAGAGUCGGGUUGUUUGGGAAUGCAGCCCAAAACGGGUGGUAAACUCCAUCUAAAGCUAAAUAUUGACGUGAGACCGAUAGCGAACAAGUACCGUGAGGGAAAGAUGAAAAGAACUUUGAAAAGAGAGUUAAAAAGUACGUGAAACCGUUGAAAGGGAAACGAAUGAACUCAGCAACGCGCCGUUUGAGAUUCAGCCGGUCGGCGGCGUCGGCUCGGGGUUUGCGGAUCUGAAUGGACCGCGGUCUCGGGCUCGCCUCUGCCGACCGUCGCACUUCUCUUGGGCGCACGUCAACGUCGGUUGGGUCUGGGUCUGAAAGGUUCCGGGAAGACGAGUCCGUCAGCCCGGUUCUCUCGCGGCUCGGACUCGACCGAGGCAGUGUCGCAGCGCAUGCCUCUUUUGGCUAGGGUCCCGUCCCUCCGGCCGGUCGUCGACCGCGGUGGACUGCUUGCAGUGCUCCGCGACUGCUGCCGGUCGUUGGGGUGGUGAUCUCGUACCAUGCGCUUAUGAUGUUGGCGGCCAUAUGGGUCC